Molecule: ribosomal RNA, 397 nt
Filed under: uncultured bacterium
Lineage: Bacteria
Description: partial 16S ribosomal RNA
Rfam family: Bacterial small subunit ribosomal RNA
Source: RNAcentral
AUACGUAGGGUGCGAGCGUUGUCCGGAAUUACUGGGCGUAAAGGGCGUGUAGGCGGCGGUGUAAGUCUGGAGUGAAAGUCCCGCAUUCAAUGUGGGAAUUGCUUUGGAUACUGCAGUGCUAGAGUGCGGAAGAGGUAAGUGGAAUUCCCAGUGUAGCGGUGAAAUGCAUAGAGAUUGGGAGGAACACCAGUGGCGAAGGCGACUUACUGGGCCGUAACUGACGCUGAGGCGCGAAAGCGUGGGGAGCGAACAGGAUUAGAUACCCUGGUAGUCCACGCGGUAAACGAUGAAUGCUAGGUGUUGCGGGUAUCGACCCCUGCAGUGCCUGAGUAAACACAAUAAGCAUUCCGCCUGGGGAGUACGGCCGCAAGGUUGAAACUCAAAGGAAUUGACGGGU